UCCAGUAUCGCACUACUGGGGAACAUUGCUGAUUUGACAUCAUGAUGCUAAACUCCUUAGAGUAACACCUUCACCAUCCGGCGAAACUAAAUCUCAAACGGUAACCACGGCUUGAGUCGCGCUGAUCGCGUAACAUUCCCAUCUCCGUUCGACGGAAAAGUUUCCUCCAGUAUCGCACUACUGGGGAAAUACUGUUGUCACGAUACCAAACUCCUCGGAGUAGCAUCUUCACCUUUG
Molecule: long non-coding RNA, 237 nt
Filed under: Lathyrus oleraceus (garden pea)
Lineage: Eukaryota; Viridiplantae; Streptophyta; Magnoliopsida; Fabales; Fabaceae
Description: Pisum sativum (pea) long non-coding RNA (PSAT_LNC015789)
Source: RNAcentral